ACAGGCCCCCGCCUCCCGGAGAAAACUCCUUGGCCUACAGGUGGCGCUGCAGCUCCGGCGCCGGCCUGGGCUGGCGGGUCCUUCCGGGUGGCGGCGUUCAGCCUGCCUGUCGUAGCCUGAGGGUCCUCACUGGAAAAUCCAAGACUAUCCCUCCUGAUGAAAACAAGCAGAAAGAGAGGCCUCACCAGCAUCCUUGACUGAUCAGCCGCACAUCAGAGCCAAAUCACCAGCUAACUGUCUUCCCCAAAACCCAGGACCCCAGGAAACGCAGCCACAUAUUCAACCAAGCACAUAGGUCAUGCAGAGGAAGGGAUCCUGGGUUGAGGGUUCUAAUCCCAGCUUUGCCACCAGCCAGCUGUGUGACCUUAAGCAUGUCAUUCCCCUCAUUUGGGCUAAGAUUUCUCAUCUGGACAGUGACAUUGCUGGCUGAGGCACUAAAAGGAGUCAGAGGCUUGGGUGUUGAGAUAAUGCUGACAAAGCUGAACCACUGACUAUUUUUCAAGAAACAUUUUUACCUUCAUUGGCACAGACAGAAACUCCCAUUAAGACCUUUUGUCUCUAGCUUUUCUGCACCUGUUUUAAGCGUCAACUGAGCUGGAGGCAAUGGCUGGGCCCGCAGUGCCUGGAAAGCAGUUUCUUCAGUGGGUCAGGCAGUUCCCAGAGCCAGACAUGUCCCGGACAACACCCCCUUGUGGACAUCACAGUGGAAAUCCCUCAAAUACCAUCCUGAGCACCAUCUAAAGGAGCCUCGUCGCAAGAGCCAGUGAGGUCUGAGCAAAUCUCCAAGCCCCAAGACUGGGUGCAGCAUAAAAGACAUUUUUGAUCAGAGCAGAUGUAGGGGAGCAUGGGGGAAGCAGGCCCCCAGGAACCCGAGCUGCCUGUCCCAUGGGCCAGAGGAGGGAGGGGAGACUGGGCCAUCCCUGUUCUCCUCCUCCCUCUGAGCACCGGCAGCCUGGGAUGGAGUCACAGGAUGGAGCUUCUAGAGACAGUGACACAGGACCAGAGGGAAGGGCCCUUUGGGGUCCUGCUCAGAGCACUCCAAAAGCAAACCAGAGGUAGAGGCUCCAUCUCAGGUCUGUGCUUCUCUGGGGCCACCCAGCCAUCCUGCCUACCAGCUCAGAGGGACAAAGCCCUCCCAGGAGGCAGCAGGCAGCAAGGGCCAGCCAGCGUCCCUCCACAGCCCAUCACACUGAAAGCCGCUCUGCAGGCUUGCUUUACCUGGAGGAUGCCCACCUUAACCCCAACCCAGGCCCACUAGCAAAGAAGUCCAGGGCCUGCAGGCUCGGAAGGAAGAAGCCGAGGAGAUGUCCUGGAGGUGAGCUGGCUGCCUCAGCAAGGGAGCUCUGCUGAGCAUGUGGGUCAUGGGGUCUGAAACACAUCCAGAUGGGGCCCAGGUUGCAGGAACCUUUCAGAUGUGACAGCUGCCUCAGACCCCAGCCGGAGAGGUGAAUAGGAUUGGGGGUUGAGCCCCAGAUGCAGUCGCUGAAGGUCACAGUAGUUGGAAAAGGCCCCAAGGCCAUGCUAGGCCCCCCAAGACUCCAGGGGCAUAUGCGACUGAGGGACACUGGGCCCCUUCCCCCUACAUGGACCCGAUCAGAACCCGCAAGCCUUCCCUACCUCACUCUCCCCUCGUGUAAGUGGGGAGGGGAAAUGACUGGUCUUCCUGGAAUGUCUCCUGCCAGCAGAGACCUGAGCCCUGGCCUGGCUCUCAACCAACACAGCAGCUUCCCAGCACGGCUCCUUCGCUCUCCCUGAAUUCCUUCUCCCUCCUGGCCUCCCGCCCCUUUGUGGAAGAAAUAUCUGCUCAAGGGGAAGAGACUGCCUCAGGGCUUCCCCCACAGUAGCCAUAAUCAGGGGCCUGUGAGAAGCUGGGCAGGACACAAAGUGCCUGCCACCAUCCAGGAAACGUGCGGUGUGGCCCUGGCCCAUCCAGCUGUCUCUGAGCUUGAACUGGCUGGAGCCCUGCUCAUGGAACCCUGGCAGCUGGGGAGGCAGCCCCGGGCCUACAUCAGCAGAUGGGAAAGACGCUCAGCACAAAAGCAAAGAUGGACAUUUUGGAGAUCCAGAGAUACAGGGGCAAUAGCGCCGACUUUUAUCAGGAUGGCCUCAAGGACGCUCUGAGUCUUGGCUCCUGGGAGCAUGACGCUGCCACCACCAAGAGCGUUCCUGGUGGUAAAGCCAGGAAGGCACUGCCCUGUGGCAAAGGCCCUCGCCGGGCUCUAACCCCACCCUGAACGCAGUCUCUGAGGCAGAUCAGCUCCCAGUCACUGCCGAGCUUCCCCCACGCCCCCGCUCCUCCCUGCCCAACUCUUUUCCUCUCCAGGCUGAACAAGAUGACAAAGGACCUGGACAUCACACUGGGAGGUCAGGAAGGAGGAACCUGAGGAAGGAGGCCUCGUCCAGAGACAGGAGGUACUUGGAGGGCAUGUCGGUGGCGGCACGGGCAGGGCUGUGACCACCUGGUACACCCAGACUGACGGCUGGUCUGUGGGCAGGUGGCUGGUGGGGUGGCGGGCCUGGGGCUGUCGGGGUCGUGUUCGACACUCCCAAACUGCUGGAACAGGAGCCUUCUCCAGGCAGAACAGGGCUUCCCUGAGGACACAAGGAGAGGGGGACGAUGAGCCAACAUUCCAUACAGGAAGGAAGGGACAGUGCAGAUGUCGGGAGGAAGAGGUGGGGAACGUGCCAGCCUGUGGCUGCAGCUCAGUGGAGACCUUAGGACCAGGAGGGUGCGUCCUGUAUCAGGGGGCCCCACCUUUCGCAGCCAAGAAGCCGUGCCUCACCACGGCUUUGGUGGGCAGUGGCAUGUGAAGUGCAUGAUGGAGGCAGAGGGAAGGUCCACAUGCCCAUUUUUCUUCUGCUUUUCAUAAAUCAGUUUGAAUAUAAGGUGGGUUCGGCCAUGCCCCUCCCCUCAGCUCCAGCGCUGACUCCUACCCCUGGAGCCCCAUGUGGGGAGAGGGCUGGGGCUCAGAUGGGCCUCUGGGGACUUCCCCAGCAGGCAUCCAGGCCGUGAUGGUAGCGAGCUGGACCCAUGGCCGCUCUGCUGAAACCACAUGCCCCCUCAAAGCAGGCAGGAGCAGAGGCCUCCUGGGGUGGCUCCUCACAGUGCUGACUGCCAGGGGCAUCUCCUGGUGAGGAGGAGAGCACACCCAGCCCAGGGCCUCCGCCAAAGACACAAGAAGGGGACAGCUGCCUGAGGGCAGGGAUGCCAGGGAGCACUCCCAGGAAUUCCUCCCUCCAGGGGCAGAAGCAGACGUGGCUACUCCCCUUCGGCCUGUAGAAACCAGAGUCCAUCAGUGGCAGGGAGACCUAGCUAGUACGUCUGGUCCAGUAUUACUGGGAACCCCCUUCCCAUCUCCACACAGGCCACCUGCCCCUCUUUCCCCAUCACAGGUCUUUAGGGGUGAGGCAGCGUUUUGGACCUCCCUAGCUGGCAGCAUCUCUCUGGCCAUUCUGAGGCUACAGGCCACUUGAACCCUGAUCUAAAAGGAACACACCUCCCGACUCAUGACCACAGAGGGACAAACAUUCACUUAACCCACCUUGGACAGGCAAAGGACUCCUGCUUCACAUUAGUGACCCUGUUUCAACAAAAACCCAUACAGGAGUUUCAGUAACCAGACAACACAGUCCCCUUUCACCGCAGUGUCUCUGCACUCAGCUCCUGACAGUCUGGUGAGCUCAGGAAGGGACCAGCAUUUCACACCUCACAUGUGAGCCUGGCUGUGUCCAGAGGUGAAGCUCUAAUUCAGCAGUUGUGGCAAAGGUGGCCGGGACCCCUGAGCCAACACCUGUGCCUCCUGGGGCCAGACCUCCCCAGAACUUCCCCUGCCUCCUAUGGGGAGCCCCCUCUGACGUGUCUGAACCCUUCUCCUCUGGCCUGCAGAAGGGCGGCUGCCUUCUAUGUGGGGGGUGGGAGGCGUUCACAGCAUUCUUACCGCACCAGAGCUGGCAUGGCUGAGCUUGUCAAAGCAGAAUUUCAGGUUCGAUCUUGGGGAGUUUCUGCUUUUGGCAUCUAAGAAAAAGAAUGCCCAUGAAAGGGGUGGUGGAGCUAUACAGGGAAGGGGGCCUCCUGCCCCCCACCAGAACCAGCACUCCAGAUGACCUGUACCAGUCCAUAAGAGCCAACUCCUGGAUUACAGAAAUGUGGGGAGUGGGUUGUUCAACACAGGCCAUUUUGUAAAGUUGAAUUACAUAAGCUUAGAAUUCAAUAAAUUAUAUUCAACAGAUGUAAUAAAUACUUGAAAUUCA
This is a non-coding RNA of Callithrix jacchus (white-tufted-ear marmoset), 4251 nucleotides long. The record is from RefSeq and is a predicted model, not a curated record. NCBI's taxonomy places the organism in Eukaryota, Metazoa, Chordata, Mammalia, Primates, Cebidae.